Molecule: unclassified non-coding RNA, 303 nt
Filed under: Hevea brasiliensis (rubber tree)
Lineage: Eukaryota; Viridiplantae; Streptophyta; Magnoliopsida; Malpighiales; Euphorbiaceae
Source: RNAcentral
CCGUGUCCCUAACACAGGAAAGCCAGACCGUAUCGGUCAUGUCGAACGUGUACACGGCGCAGGGUGCGGAAGCGACGGGCGACGAGCAGUCGAAGAUGAUCGCUGUGACGAUGAACGCAGGUGGCAUGCUUGCGAGCGAAUCUGCUACCCUUACGUUCCUCCUCGCUAUGGCUCAGCACCGGGACAUCCAGGAGCGGGCACAGGCUGAGGUGGACUCUGUCUGCGGCAACAAGCUCCCAACGAUGGCUGAUCGCCCGAAUCUGCCAUACGUCGACGCCAUCCUCUCCGAGGUUCUGCGAUGGG